GAUGAAGAACGUAGCGAAAUGCGAUAAGUAAUGUGAAUUGCAGAAUUCAGUGAAUCAUCGAGUGUUUGAACGCACAUUGCGCCCCCUGGUAUUCCGGGGGGCAUGCCUGUCCGAGCGUCAUUGCCGCCCUCAAGCACGGCUUGUGUGUUGGGCCCCCGCCCCCCGGCUUCGGGGGGCGGGCCCGAAAGGCAGCGGCGGCACCGCGUCCGGUCCUCGAGCGUAUGGGGCUUCGUCACCCGCUCUGUAGGCCCGGCCGGCGCCCGCCGGCGACCCCAAUCAAUCUUUCCAGGUUGACCUCGGAUCAGGUAGGGAUACCCGCUGAACUUAAGCAUAUCAAUAAGCGGAGGA
This 348-nucleotide unclassified non-coding RNA is filed under the name soil metagenome. RNAcentral's name for it is "partial contains 5.8S ribosomal RNA, internal transcribed spacer 2, and large subunit ribosomal RNA". The stretch from base 1 to 120 matches the Rfam family "5.8S ribosomal RNA", at positions 35 to 154 of the family's 154-position model. The record is from RNAcentral.